GUACUUGUUUCGGCAGUACAUAUCCAAAAAUUGGAAUGACACAGAGAAGAUUAGCAUGGCGACACGCAAAAUCGUGUAGCUUUCCACAUUUUU
This 93-nucleotide small nuclear RNA is filed under the name Papilio xuthus (Asian swallowtail). The record is from RNAcentral. Lineage: Eukaryota; Metazoa; Arthropoda; Insecta; Lepidoptera; Papilionidae.